ACGAAAAUUAAACUCCUUACAAGUCCUGUUAAAAUCACCUUGUUGCCUUCGCCUCAACAUUGUCCUCGUUUCGUCCGUCGUCGUCGCCACCGUAGCAGUUGGGGAUGCCCAAGAGAGGAAAGGCGAUGGUGAAUUGGGGGAGGAGGAAGACGCGGCGAUGCAGGUGGGAAGCGCUUAUUUAUCUGAACCAGACCAAGAUGAUAUUAGCAAAAAGCAGGGAGCUGAAGUCAGUUUCUUUCAGCCCCGAGCAAUCAUACAUCAAUUCAAUGAAUUUUUGUGUCAAAGAUGUUGAGGAUGACAACCUUGACAACAAUUGUCCAUCUCGGUCACAAAACAAAAUGACAUCUGGAAUAAGUGAUGAAGAUGGCAGCCACAAAGGGGACUAAGGAGCUCAUUACCUGGUACCGAGCAUGAGAGUGUGAACAAAAAAGGCCUGCCGUUAUAUGCAAUUUUUUUUGCUAGUGUUUGGUGCAUCAAGGGAAAUUCUUGUAAGUUUCUUCACGAGAAAGAUGGGGUUGGCUGCACUUGUCAAGUUGCCAAGGAAGAUUGGGCUACUAGUGGAGAUUUCAUUGAUUGCAAGGUAUCAGAAUAUCUUUCGCUGUGGAAUUUCGUCUUAAAGAUUAGUUGGAGGAAAACUUGCCAGUAGCAUCCACGUAAUUACCAGGUUCACCAGAAAAGUUUGAAAAAAUAAGUGUAUCUGCUUCACUUGGCUUGAUAGACUUAUCAAAUGUGGAGAAUUCAAGAAAAUCAAAUCUUCUUUUACAGAUGUCCCUUAUCCGGACCUGCGGUGGGGAGAUCCAUGGACUAGCUCAGUUUAGGAAUGAUGAUAACUUGCUUGCAUCAAAGAACUCUUCUAAAGAACAUUUUCAAGUUGAUGUUUCAUGCGGCAAUAGGACAUCUUAUUCUGCAGUUGAUAAGUCAAAGCAGAGGAUGUUGAUCCAAGAAGAAAACCAAAGAACUUAUGGGCUAAUACAUUGUCUUGAUUCUAUCAAUGAUAGUCACUCAGAUAGUAGUUAAUUUCUAUCAAGACAGUACUCAAAUGAAGGAAAUAUAUACAAAAAAAAUGACUGGUGUAGAGUUCAAGAACUUUGCCUUUCACAAAAUACCUGUUAUCUUCAGGAUCUAAUUAUUUCUCUGGUGGAUCAUCUGCAGCCCCCAAUGUCUAUAAGGAUAUCAACAACACCUAUUCUUUUGGAAAAAGUCCAGGUAACAGCAAAGUCAUUUUCCACUUGAUGAUUCCUAUAGUUCUGGUUUAACUAGUUCUGUCAGUUUUAGCUUUGACAAUUCUCUUCAUUCAUUUUGGAGUACACCACGAAUGGAAUUGCUUCAUUUAUUUUCUGAAGCAGGGAUAAUGUUAACUUAUGUCUCUCCACCAUUUGGUGCUGAGCAUGGUGAUACCCAUGGAACAUCAAACGUUGGUUGAGGAUUUGGUGGUGCUACAUCUGGACAGCAAAAUAUUCCUGGGAAUACUUUUAACCUUUUCUGAGCAAAAACCAGAACUUGAAAAAAAUACUUGGGAGCCUUCUGUACCUUUUCAUCACCAGUGAUUAAAUCAUCCUCUGAAAGCCAAUAUGAUCCACUUGUUGACAGCAUUGGACCUCCCAAAGUGGGGAUUUUAACUUCAGUUUCUCCAAGAGUGAUUAUGAACACUAUGUCAAGUCAACAUGUUCUUGGUGAUCAUAUACUAGGUUAUAUUGCUUCAGAGGGUAUAAUGUCAAGAAGUCUUUGAACUCUUCCGAUCCAGGAUAUGAAGGCAUGCUAGGUAAAUCAUGGCAUGAAUAUUGUGGCUAUUUUAAUGGAAUGGCUCCUCCUGAUCGUACAACUGUUGAUGAGGAAGGUCAGACAGACCUUAGUAGUAAUACAAAUCUUUCAUACUGCUUUGGUGGAUUUUGUGAAGGAAGAGUAGACAAAGGAGAAGACAAAGGAGAAUACAAAUCUUUCAUACAAAUCUUGAUGAGGAAGAGUAGACAAAGGAGAAGACGUUAAGGAAUCAAAAGCAGUGAAAAUUUUUCAUACUGCUUUGGUGGAUUUUGUGAAGGAAUUGCUAAAGACAAUUUGGAAGGAGGGUCACUCGAGUAGGGAUGCUCAUAAAAUGAUAGUCAAGAAGGCAGCUGAAAAGGUUCUAAAUGCAUUGCAACCCCAUCAUGUCCCAAUUGAUAGAGUUGAUAAAGGAUCAUCUUUCGGCAUCCAAACCAAAUCUUUAAAAGG
Musa acuminata subsp. malaccensis (wild Malaysian banana) is the source of this 2208-nucleotide non-coding RNA. Lineage: Eukaryota; Viridiplantae; Streptophyta; Magnoliopsida; Zingiberales; Musaceae. The record is from RefSeq and is a predicted model, not a curated record.